RNAcentral lists this unclassified non-coding RNA (1815 nucleotides) under Daphnia magna. RNAcentral describes it as "dNA polymerase theta-like, transcript variant X2". The record is from RNAcentral. Lineage: Eukaryota; Metazoa; Arthropoda; Branchiopoda; Diplostraca; Daphniidae.
GGAAGCAUUAGGAGUAGGCUACGCCACUUUUCUAGGUGCUUUUCAAAGUGAUCUUACAAUGAGUGCUAUGUACCCUACUCUAUCAACUAAAAACCCGGACGUGAGUGAAAAGUUACAACUGAAUCAACUCACAUCCAAAAUUGGAGAAAAGAGAUGGGUAGUAUCGACAGAAUUGUGACUUGUCAAGUAUCAUGACGAAAUUUGGCUGCGCGUUGGAGUCAAUUUCCUGCGAAGGCCCGGCCAACACAGACCUAAAUCUUAAUCGUGAAAUGCAAUUAUUUUUUAGUGUUUAGCUAUGUUUUAACUUAAACUUUUCCGUGCUUUUCUAAGAGCUCUUAUAAAUAACUUUUUCCAAUUGUAGUUAUACUCCUUUUUCUCUGUAGACAGUGUUCUAUAAAGAAUGCCAGUCUUCUGUUAGACUACCCAAUUGGUAUUUCCAGCGAAAUUCAUAUUCCAAUAUGAAUUUCAUACUCCAAUAUGAAUUUCCUACCACCUGUCAAUGGACUGCACUCAAGUUCACCAUUCAAUAACGACUCUAAGUUUUCCUUAAGAUUUACACUUAAAGUGUCUAGGAAGACGUUCAAAAAUAUUGAGACUAAUCACGGUUGAGCGCCGCCGGGAACUAUCACCUAGGCCAUGCCCGUGCCUGAAAGAAAAAGUCAGGACGUUGAUUCGAACGGAUUCGAAUGCAACGAGCACUAAGUACGGUCACAUUAUUGGAGGAAUGACCGUGUGCUUGGUUCGUGAUUUGGAGUCACAAGUGAUAGCUGCAAGCUGAUGUCACUCGAACCACUGCACCAACCCGACUAAGCAUGAUCGAAAAAAGCUACAGCUCAUUAUGGCGUCAGUUUAGCUUUAAUGCUAAAUUUCGCAAACACGGUGAACUAGAUUGACAAUAAUAAAAAAUGAACUUUAUUCGUCACUUGCUGUGUUACUUAUUAUUAAGAAUCUCAAUUGUGCUAAACAAAUUUUGACACGCAAAAAAUGCUACAAUAGAAACGGAAACGGUUGCACUCACGGAUCGUGACUGGAACAUGUAUACCAAUCCCGCCAUAAGACCUAGAAGUUACUCUUCGGUUGCCACCAGGUGGCAUAUGAGUAGCAUAUUUCUAUGAAAUCUUUUGAUGGCUGUCUGCUGUCUGCUUAACUGGGCAUUGAUGGCAGGUUAAUUUUUAAAAAGUUUGUACUUCAAAUAUAGGAACUAUCUUGCUUUCGGCGGAUUAUUCUCAGUUGGAACUUCGAAUAUUGGCGCAUUUGAGCGAAGACGCAGGUCUUUGUUCUGUUCUUAGCCAACCCGAUGGCGAUGUUUUCCGCGGCAUUGUAUCGGUUUGGAAAAAGAAAAAGCAAGAAGAAGUCAGAGACGAUGAAAGGCAAAAAGCGAAACAAAUCUGCUACGGGAUUGUUUACGGCAUGGGAUGUAAAUGUUUAGCCGAACAGUUGGAAGUCGGGGAAGAAGAGGCUCAACUCUUUGUUAACACUUUCCACGCAACGUAUCCUAGUCAACCGAUGUGGAAAAAAAUUCAGGAGGAAAAUGAAUUGAGCUGCUGACAUUGGCCUAUUCUGGAAUACAUCAGUUUGCAUCAUAAUCAGAAAGGUUGGUUUACGUUAACGAUCACAUCAUCGCCGUGUCUGAUCCUUUUCGAUUGCACAAUAUGAUGCAGCGAGUGUGGGUGUAUGUCGAAAAUAUAAAUUACGCAGAAACCUCCAUAGAAGGGAAACUUGUGUGAUUAGCAUCACACACACACACACACAAGAGAAUCCAAACACAUCCUUUGUUAUUCAGAUUAUUUUCCCUUUUUUUUUUUUUUUUUGUGU